GUGUCAGCCGCCGCGGUAAUACGUAGGUGGCGAGCGUUAUCCGGAAUUACUGGGCGUAAAGCGCACGCAGGCGGCCUAUCAAGUCUGACGUGAAAGCUCCUGGCUUAACUGGGAGAGGUCGUUGGAAACUGAGGGGCUUGAGGCAAUGAGAGGGGUGUGGAAUUCCCGGUGUAGUGGUGGAAUGCGUAGAUAUCGGGGGGAACACCAGUGGCGAAAGCGGCACCCUGGCAUUGGCCUGACGCUCAUGUGCGAAAGCGUGGGGAGCGAACGGGAUUAGAAACCCUCGUAGUCC
Molecule: ribosomal RNA, 292 nt
Filed under: uncultured bacterium
Lineage: Bacteria
Description: partial 16S ribosomal RNA
Rfam family: Bacterial small subunit ribosomal RNA
Source: RNAcentral